AUUGAACGCUGGCGGCAUGCCUUACACAUGCAAGUCGAACGGCAGCACGGGAGCAAUCCUGGUGGCGAGUGGCGAACGGGUGAGUAAUAUAUCGGAACGUGCCCAGUCGUGGGGAUAACGUAGCGAAAGCUACGCUAAUACCGCAUACGAUCUACGGAUGAAAGCGGGGAUCGCAAGACCUCGCGCGAUUGGAGCGGCCGAUAUCAGAUUAGGUAGUUGGUGAGGUAAAGGCUCACCAAGCCGACGAUCUGUAGCUGGUCUGAGAGGACGACCAGCCACACUGGGACUGAGACACGGCCCAGACUCCUACGGGAGGCAGCAGUGGGAAUUUUGGACAAUGGGCGCAAGCCUGAUCCAGCAAUGCCGCGUGCAGGAUGAAGGCCUUGG
Molecule: ribosomal RNA, 387 nt
Filed under: uncultured bacterium
Lineage: Bacteria
Description: bacterial SSU rRNA
Rfam family: Bacterial small subunit ribosomal RNA
Source: RNAcentral